This 66-nucleotide transfer RNA is filed under the name Sphaerodactylus townsendi. RNAcentral describes it as "tRNA-Ala". It matches the Rfam family "tRNA". Rfam says of the family: Transfer RNA (tRNA) molecules are approximately 80 nucleotides in length. Their secondary structure includes four short double-helical elements and three loops (D, anti-codon, and T loops). The record is from RNAcentral. Lineage: Eukaryota; Metazoa; Chordata; Lepidosauria; Squamata; Sphaerodactylidae.
GAGGCUCAGUGGUAGAGCAUCCGUUUGGCAUAUGGAAGGUCCUAGGUUCAAUUCCUGGCAUCUCCA